UGGGUUUGAAUUCUAUGGGCCACAAAGACGCAAAAAAAUUCAGAACUUUAUAUUUUUUUUGUUUUUAUUUGUGCCAAACCUGGAAAGGGGGUUUGCCAUGUGCCCAAACCUGGCACACAGGAAACAUUGAGACUUUGCCAUGUUCCUACAUGGUGACACACGGCAAACCCUGCCGUCAAGCCGUCCGUCAUCUUUUUUUUUUUGCCGUGUGUCAAGAUUGCCUCGUG
This 227-nucleotide long non-coding RNA is filed under the name Sorghum bicolor (sorghum). Its description in RNAcentral is "long non-coding RNA (SBIC_LNC006693)". Lineage: Eukaryota; Viridiplantae; Streptophyta; Magnoliopsida; Poales; Poaceae. The record is from RNAcentral.